Molecule: ribosomal RNA, 440 nt
Filed under: uncultured bacterium
Lineage: Bacteria
Description: partial 16S ribosomal RNA
Rfam family: Bacterial small subunit ribosomal RNA
Source: RNAcentral
CCUACGGGUGGCAGCAGUGGGGGAUAUUGCACAAUGGGGGAAACCCUGAUGCAGCGACGCCGCGUGGGUGAAGAAGCGCCUCGGCGCGUAAAGCCCUGUCAGCAGGGAAGAAAAUGACGGUACCUGAAGAAGAAGCCCCGGCUAACUACGUGCCAGCAGCCGCGGUAAUACGUAGGGGGCGAGCGUUAUCCGGAUUUACUGGGGGUAAAGGGGGCGCAGACGGCGAUGCAAGCCAGGAGUGAAAGCCCGGGGCCCAACCCCGGGACUGCUCUUGGAACUGCGUGGCUAGAGUGCAGGAGGGGCAGGCGGAAUGCCUGGUGUAGCGGUGAAAUGCGUAGAUAUCAGGAGGAACACCGGUGGCGAAGGCGGCCUGCUGGACUGCAACUGACGUUGAGGCCCGAAAGCGUGGGGAGUAAACAGGAUUAGAUACCCCGGUAGUC